Molecule: long non-coding RNA, 674 nt
Organism: Mya arenaria
Lineage: Eukaryota; Metazoa; Mollusca; Bivalvia; Myida; Myidae
Exons: 2
Source: RefSeq, a predicted model, not a curated record
CCCCCUGACACACACAUGAUAUUUGCCAGUCCAGGCAAUGUCAACCGCAAGAGAAAACCAGUGAUGACAAGUUUUACAAAUAAUCGGAAAGUAUGGUCUUUUGAAGAGAGUUCUUGAAGUUGUUCAGCAUGUUGUUUUGAUGGAUUCUUGGAAGGAUGUACCUCUAUGAUGUUAGCUUCAGUUCUGGAGUAUAACACCAGUUGUUGCAUAUUUAAUAUCAGAUUUAUUAAAUACAUUGUUGUUUUGCAAACAUUACUUAAACUUUGAUAUUUCUUUGGUGUUUAUGUAUGAUAUUGUAGGUGAAUAUCUCUUUAUUGCAAUGGCAAAUAUAUUUUAAAAUAUAUAGCAUUAGCAGAAGUUAUUUUUCACUGUUAAAGCUGCACUUUCACAGAUUGAUCACUUUGACAACUUACACAGGAUUCGAUUGCAUUUAUCAUAGUUUGGCUCGGAGAAGUUUGCUUUGUGAUUUAUAUAUUAGGUCUUAAUUUAAAGAAUGCCAAAAUAAGCCGAUUCUGAGACAAACAGUGUCAAACUAGAAUUCUGUGAGAGUGCAACUUUAAGAAUACUGUUAAUCGAGUGUGCAUGUGAUCCAGACUCUGAACAUUGGAUGAACUAUCAUUAAAUAUUGUAGAUUUACGUAAAUGGCCCAAAACAUAAGAAUAACAAUGAAAAUA